This 752-nucleotide ribosomal RNA is filed under the name Pachyta bicuneata. RNAcentral describes it as "eukaryotic LSU rRNA". It matches the Rfam family "Eukaryotic large subunit ribosomal RNA", at positions 44 to 606 of the family's 3401-position model. The record is from RNAcentral. Lineage: Eukaryota; Metazoa; Arthropoda; Insecta; Coleoptera; Cerambycidae.
AAUUAAAGCGGGAGGGAAGAACUAACUAGGAUUCCCUCAGUAGCUGCGAGCGAACAGGGAAGAGCCCAGCACCGCAAUCCCGCGGCCGAUACCGGGCGCCGGGAAAUGUGGUGUUAGGGAGGAUCCGUUUAUCCCGAGGUCGUGCGGUGCGUCCAAGUCCUUCUUGAACGGGGCCACAGCCCAUAGAGGGUGCCAGGCCCGUAGUGACCGCUGCCGAUCGCGGGAGGAUCUCUCCUCAGAGUCGGGUUGCUUGAGAGUGCAGCCCUAAGUGGGUGGUAAACUCCAUCUAAGGCUAAAUAUGACCACGAGACCGAUAGCGAACAAGUACCGUGAGGGAAAGUUGAAAAGCACUUUGAAGAGAGAGUUCAAGAGUACGUGAAACCGUUCAGGGGUAAACCUGAGAAACCCGAAAGGUCGAAAGGGGAAAUUCAUUCGCGUUUCGGCCGUCGGCGUCGGAUGGUCGAGUGACGGAUGGCGUACGCGUCGUCCGCGCCUUCCUUCCUUCGAACCGGCGUCGAACGCGUGCACUUUUCCCCUAGUAGGACGUCGUGAUCCGUUGGGUGUCGGUCUAAGGCCUGCGGUGGAGCCCGCGUGGACGUUUCAACGACGUUCAUUCGGACCCGCGGUGUCCCGGCCGACUCGCUCGACGGUAUACAGAUGGCGUGGGGCCGCUACUCAGUUAGCGUUCGGCCUGCGGCAAGCACGUUCGGCGUUUGACGGCGAUCGGACCUGGUGCCGGUCCUGUCCCCGAA